UUCAACUGUCGUUGUAAGUCGCUCUGGAUAAGAGCGUCUGCUAAAUGACGUAAA
Salmo salar (Atlantic salmon) is the source of this 54-nucleotide non-coding RNA. Lineage: Eukaryota; Metazoa; Chordata; Actinopteri; Salmoniformes; Salmonidae. The record is from Rfam.